Molecule: long non-coding RNA, 1099 nt
Filed under: Homo sapiens (human)
Lineage: Eukaryota; Metazoa; Chordata; Mammalia; Primates; Hominidae
Description: non-protein coding lnc-GSPT2-2:1
Source: RNAcentral
UUUGUGAGACACUGGGGAGGUUCUCAUGGGGAAAAGUCUUAUGUAUGUGAUUAAUGUCAAAAAGCCCUUUGUCAGUGUUCAAGGGAGGUACCUCAGAGUACUCAUGAUAAAGAGAAACCCUAUGAAUGCUGUGAAUGUAGUGAAUAUAAAGAAAUUUUUAAUCAUGAUGCCAGUCUUACUUACCAUCUGAGGACUCACACCUGAGAAUUCAUUGAUUUGUUAUGGCCAUAAGAAUGUGGAAAGGCAGGACAUGAUUCUCUUUCAACACCAGAAAUUUCAUAGGGUAGAAAAACUUUCCCAAUGCUGGACAAAUUGCAGUGGGUGAUGAAGCUUUUUGAAUCAUGCAAAAGUUUAUACUGGACAGAAUCCCUAUGAGUGUACUGACUGUGGGAAAGGCCUCAAGACAAACUCAGACUGUUUUUUUUAACAUGAGAGAAUUCAUAGUGGAGAACAACCCUAUGCUCAUAAUGCAUGUGGAAAGGCUUUCAGAUCCAGCUCAGACUUUACUAAACAUGAGAGAAUUCAUAGUGGAAAGUAACCUUAUGCAAUGAUGAAUGUGGGAAAGGGUAUCUGGAGAUAACAGACCUUCAAAAACAUUAGAAAAUUUAUAGCGGAGAUGGAAAGAGAUCCUUUCAGUGUAAUGAAUAUGGAAAUGUUUUUAAUCUAGAGCUCAAAUUUUAUUUGUCAUCAAAGAUAAUCUUUUACAAUGAAUAUACAAAAACCUCCAAACAGAAAUCAAUCCUUGUUCAUCAUCUGCAGAUUCAUAGUGGACAGACACUCUGUACCUGUAAUGAAUAAGCCUUCAAUUAGAGGCUAAGUCUUAUUCAUUAUCAGAGGAUUCAUAAAGGCAUCACCUUCUAUGUACGUAAAAAAUUAUGGGUAUGCUUUCAGCAGGAUAUCAGCCUUAUUUGAUAUUGGCAAGUCUAUAGCGAGUUCGCUUAAAUGCAGUGAGUGUGGAAAGGCCUUCAAUCUGAAGUUUAAUCUUACUCAGCAUCAGAAAAUACAGAGUGGCAGGAAUCUUAUUAAUGUAAUGUGUGUGGGAAAGUCUUUAUGAGAAAAUCACGUCUUGGUAAAAAUGAAAAAAAGAUUCUUUGUAAAA